GAGGGGUGCAAACGUUUAUUCGGAUUUACUGGGUGUAAAGGGUGUGUAGACGGCUUAUCAAGUUCGUUGUUAAAUCUUCCGGCUUAACCGGAAGCUUGCGAUGAAAACUGAUAGGCUUGAGGAUGAAAGAGAGAGGCGGAAUUCUCGGAGUAGCGGUAAAAUGCGUAGAUCUCGAGAGGAACACCGAUGGCGAAAGCAGCCUCUUGGUUCAUUUCUGACGUUGAGACACGAAAGCGUGGGGAGCAAACAGGAUUAGAUACCCUGGUAGUCCACGCCGUAAACGAUGAUCACUGGAUGUCAGCUUUGCUUUGCAAGGUUGGUAUCGAAGCUAACGCGUUAAGUGAUCCACCUGGGAACUACGAUCGCAAGAUUA
This 373-nucleotide ribosomal RNA is filed under the name uncultured organism. RNAcentral describes it as "partial 16S ribosomal RNA". It matches the Rfam family "Bacterial small subunit ribosomal RNA", at positions 527 to 896 of the family's 1533-position model. The record is from RNAcentral.